RNAcentral lists this long non-coding RNA (4313 nucleotides) under Sus scrofa (pig). RNAcentral describes it as "lncRNA (ENSSSCG00025027809.1)". The record is from RNAcentral. Lineage: Eukaryota; Metazoa; Chordata; Mammalia; Artiodactyla; Suidae.
UAGGUUUUUUGUUUUGUUUUGUUUUGUCUUUUGUCUUUUCUAGGGCCUCACCCGCGGCAUGAGGGAUCCCAGGCUAGGGGUCUAAUUGGAGCUGUAGCCUCUGGCCUACGCCAGAGCCACAGAAAUGCCAGAUCCAGGCUGUGUCUGCCACCUACACCAUAGCUCAUGGCAAUGCUGGAUCCUCAACCCACUGAGCGAGGCCAGGGAUCAAACCCCCAUGGUUCCUAGUGGUAUUCGUUAACCACUGAGCCACGACGGGAACUCCUGAAAAACUAUUUUUUAAGUUUAAAAAAAAAAAAAUUAUUAGAGUAUAGUUGACUUACAGUAUUUUGAUAGCUUCAGGUAUACAGUGAAGCGAAUUGGUUAUACAUGGACGUAUAUCUGUUCUUUUUCAGUCUUUUCCCAUAUAGGCCAAAAGGACCAGUUUUAAUAUAUGAAAUACAUAUCUACCAAUACAUCAACUACAAAAAUAAUUGAUGAAAACUCUCAGACUCAUUCAUAUCAUUGUUCUAAGUUCUGUUUUCAGUUUUACUAUGUAGACUCACUCCUAAGUUCAAGAUUAUUGCAAGGACAACUUACAGCUUCUUUUUAAAAGCACUUGAUGAGGUUUACAGCUCAGCUACUUAAAUAUAUCCUGCUUACUCAAACUGGCAAAUGAUUCACCACCAAGGACAAUAAAACAUAAUCAACAAGGUUUUAAUCCUCACUAUUCUCCCUGGCAGCUUUCCAUGAGGCUGUGGUUCCCAGAAAGACUGAAGUAAUUAUCCAUCUAUCUUGUUUCCUUCCUCCUUCUCUCCCUCCCUCCCUCUCCUCUGCUCUCCUCUACCUCCCUCCCCCCUCCUCCUAUCUACCUACUUAUCUAUCUAUAUAUUUAGUCUAUUUCUUAUUGUCUUAGUCCCUGCUUAUUCCUAGUAAAGAAAACCACUGUCUACUCUGACCAAAUCUAAACUUUGAGAGGGUUGGGAGAUGGGAGAAAGCAUUGUAGAAUGUUUGCACCCAGCCAAGGGGAGAUAUCCUGUAUGCAGCUACUGAUUUUUUAAAUAAUACCUUUCUUUGUCAAAACGUAUUUUUUUGAGUUGUCAUAAAUUAUGCUACAUAAUGGUUUGGGUACCAAGUUGAGUCUGUAAACAUUGUGCUCACAGCUGGUGAAUCUGUUACAUUUUGCUUCUGGCUUGCAGCCUUUCAGUUUAUUUAAAUAUCACAUCUGCUCAGAGCUGGCGCUGGGGCACAGACUUGAGAAAUUUGAUACACUUAAGUUAACCUUUCAACUUGAACUUUCUAACUAGAUGCGCCCGCGUUCUUAGUUUUGGUGCAACACCCCCUACCCCAACCCAGGAUGUGGGUGUGCAUGACCACGCGCAUACACACACACAUUUUCUUUCUCUCAAAUGGCUAUAUGGGCAGACUUGGCUGCUACACCUUAAUGUUAGUUACACUAUAAAAUCUGAGCUUGAUUUAUGUUCUCCUAUUGUAAAAUCACACUGUGGCCUCUACAAUGUUUUCUGCAAACAGUAACUGCAAGCAUAAAAAAAAGUCCUGUGUAAGGAAGUUCUCUUUUAUAACAAGGGAGCUACAAGGAGAGGUCUGAGGACAAGGGUUUGAAUCCUCAAGAACUGGGAUCUGGGGCUCUAAGCCAUUUUCAAGAUCCAAGAUGAACCAGUGAACUGAGAAGAAUGGACUUGGAAGUUAGUUCUCAAAUUACACCAAAACUCAGGUCCAGAAAUUAAGAGACUGGCUUUAGAGGUAUCAUUGAGCAAGUGUGCUUCUGACCACCAUCACCCCAUUGAUUUUACAGGAAAUCUCAGUCCACUUUUUCAGGGAUUGUCCACAUCGCUCGGCCUCAUACCUCCUACAUCCUCAACUGCAAAAAGGAUGGGUUUGGUCUAAUAUUAGGACAUUGGCAAGGCUAGCUGAGUACCAGGUUUCCAGGCUUUUUGUGGUUCUAGUCAGACUAGAGAAAUAAAUAUCUUUGAUUCAAUAUCUACAAGUCUGUAGCAUUUCACCUCUGCUCUAGGGGCUGUAAACAAAUUUAAGGUGUCUCUAACCUCACAGAAUUUAUUGUCCAGAUGCAGAGAAUAGAUACAUGAAACAGUAGCAGAGAUAAAGAUAUACUUAGACUAGACAAGAUGAGAAAAGAUAGCAUAGGAUGUUAUUAAAUUGUAAACCACACAAAACAAUUUCAAAGACAGUAAGCAUUGUAGGGAAGGGAGAUUACCAGGGCACCCAGAUCAUAGAAAAUGUCAUGGGUCUUCAGCAAAAUCUCAACACAUAGAUAGUUUAUAACCUAGCAAAAUAAAGUAAGACUUUCUGGCUGGGAAAAAAAAGGCCAGGAACUGGAAUAUUUGGGGUUCAGUAAUAAGACAGCUCCUACCUUAGCAGAUAUUACUCAUAUUAUUCUUUAUUUUUCUGUUGAAUUCUGUAACUUUCCCUUAGCAGGGCACAGUUUGAAAGGAUUAUGGCUGCCUGAUCCGUGAAAGAUGAAAGUGAGUUUCAUGUUGAAUAGGUAUCCUGAUAAAAUGAAUAAAUUCCAAAAACAGUGGUAGCUUCCACUUAUUAUUUACUAUGCAUAGUUACUCUUACAAGUGUUUGACAUGCAUAUCAACUCAUUCAAUUCCUCCAUAGAUCUAUGAUGUAAAUCCUAUUAAUUUUCCCAUUUAAUGGGUUAGGAAACUCAGGCACAGUGAAUUUGAGUUGUCCAGAGUCAAGUAGGCAAUUAGUGGUGAAACUGGAACUCUAAGCAAUGUUCCUUCCCCAUCCAAUCUUUCCACUCAAAUACAGCUCCCAACAAGAUGCUGGAGCAUAUCAUAUUGUUGGGGAAAUGUAAUGACUCUGGCUCGGGUUGUCAGUGUCAGAAAGUGAGGCACGUGGACAACGGGAGAUCUCGACAAGGCUCUUUACUUCUGCAGAAGGGCGCUGAUACUCAAAAAGCGCAUGCAAAGAAGAAAAGACCCUCCCUAUUUAUCCUUGGCACAGGUGAUGUACCUGUCCCCUUCCCAUUGGUUAGGUCAGGGCACACAUUCUUCCUGGUUGGCUAAUUGAAACAAACUGUUGUUGGGAGAAGAGGUAAAGAGGAAGGGGUUGCAGAAGGGUGUUUCAGCUGAAACCAUAGCAAAAUAGAGUAACCAAGAUUUCCUCUGAUAGAAGAGACAUUAUGCUACUUUCCACAAUAUGCAUCUCACAAAACUAUCUCUGAUUUCUUAGGCUACCUAGAUGCAUAGAUUUCUCUGAAUGCUAAAUAUCUUUAUAUUUAUCUUACUUAGUUCUUUUAAAAAAGGUCUUUUCUGUUUUCUCGUUUUCUCUGGCUUAGACUAUUAUUACCAUCAUUUUAAACUUAGUUUUUUUCUUUAUAACUCUGCUUAAUAAACAUUAGCCAUUCCAUCUUUGUACCCAAAUCCUUAAAGAUAAAUUGUUUAAAAACUUACGCCAAUAUAUAUGUGAGCUUGAUAAUUUGCUUUCCUAAAACAGAUUGGGACAUCUGUUUUACUCUUUCCUUCUCAGUGUGCAUGUAUAUUCUAAAAAGUGAUUGGUAAUCCCUGUGUAACAAAAUGAAUGCUAUGAAGAGGCAGUACCUCCUAUGGUUGGAGCAGAAAGAACUGUGAAACCACACUGCCUAAAAUUAAAUCUUUCCCCAUUCUUUCCUUUCAACUUCCUAUAUACCUUUGUACAAAUUAUUUAACUUCUCUGUACUUCAGUUUUAUUUUUUUCCCUAAUUUAUAAAAUGGUAUAAUAUAACCUAUCUGAUAAAUAGGUUAGAGGUAUAUUUGUAAAGCAUUUAGGUAGGCUUGGCACUAAUAAUCUACUUCUACCACCACCAGGAAAAACAACAAUAAAACAUAAUCGUAAAUGCUAGCUAUUACUGUUACUAUUAUUAAGUAGUUAAUGAAAUCAUCUUAAGAGAACUGACCCCAUCAAGAUAUCAUAAACCCUUUCUUGUAAAAGCUGAGAUUAUAAGACAUAACUUUAAAUAGAACCACAACCAGUCCUGAACCCUCCUGCCUUCAACACAAUUGCAUCAACAUACACACAUACGUUCUGUUAGUAGUAAAAGACAGGAAACAUUUAAUGUCAACCGCUGGUCAAAUAAACUGUAGAUUAUUCACAAAAUAGAGUGCUUGAAGUCAUAAAAAGGAAUACUGAUGAUUAUCAUGAACUAAUUUUGAGUGUCCUCUAUAACAUAUUUUUAAAGGAAAAGAAGUAAAAUUCAGUAGAAUGUAUAUCGAUAAAUAAGGAGGGAGAAAAUAAGUGUUUUAUAUAUUCAAGAUUUGAAUGAACUCAAAAAGGAGGAAGCAAAACACAAUUGAAAAUAAACAAAA